Molecule: ribosomal RNA, 423 nt
Filed under: Verrucomicrobiota bacterium
Lineage: Bacteria; Pseudomonadati; Verrucomicrobiota
Description: Verrucomicrobia bacterium partial 16S ribosomal RNA
Rfam family: Bacterial small subunit ribosomal RNA
Source: RNAcentral
UGAGGAAUAUUGGUCAAUGGACGCAAGUCUGAACCAGCCAAGGAGCGUGCAGGAUGACGGCCCUAUGGGUUGUACACUGCUUUUAUAUGGGGAUAAAGUUGGGAACGUGUUCCCUUUUGCAGGUACCAUAUGAAUAAGGACCGGCUAAUUCCGUGCAGCAGCCGCGGUAAUACGGAAGGUUCGGGCGUUAUCCGGAUUUAUUGGGUUGAAAGGGAGCGUAGGCCGUUUGGUAAGCGUGUUGUGAAAUGUAGGAGCUCAACUUCUAGAUGGCAGCGCGAACUGUCAGACUUGAGUGCGCACAACGUAGGCGGAAUUCAUGGUGUAGCGGUGAAAUGCUUAGAUAUCAUGAAGGACGCCGAUUGCGAAGGCAGCUUACGGGCGCGCAACUGACGCUGGAGCUCGAAGGUGCGGGUAUCGAACAAG